This 381-nucleotide ribosomal RNA is filed under the name uncultured eukaryote. RNAcentral's name for it is "partial 18S ribosomal RNA". It matches the Rfam family "Eukaryotic small subunit ribosomal RNA", at positions 592 to 976 of the family's 1831-position model. The record is from RNAcentral.
CAAUAGCGUAUAUUAAAGCUGUUGCGGUUAAAAAGCUCGUAGUUGGAUUUCUGUCAAGGACAACUGGUCCGCCCUUCGGGUGAGCACAUAGUUUGGUCUUGGCAUCUUGUUGGAAACUGUUGCUGCACUUGGUUGUGUGGCGCAGCGUCCAGCACUUUCACUUUGAGGAAUUUGGAGUGUUUCAAGCAGGCACAUGCCUUUGGACACAGUAGCAUGGAAUAAUUAGAUUGGGCUUUUGCUCCAACUUGUCGGUUUCUGGAGCUGAGGUGAGAAUUAAUGGGGAUUGUUGGGGGCAUCCGAAUUUAGCCGUCAGAGGUGAAAUUCUUGGAUCUGCUAAAGACGGACAACUGCGAAAGCGUUUGCCCAGGAUGUUUUCAUUGA